Molecule: ribosomal RNA, 759 nt
Filed under: Neisseria subflava
Lineage: Bacteria; Pseudomonadati; Pseudomonadota; Betaproteobacteria; Neisseriales; Neisseriaceae
Description: bacterial SSU rRNA
Rfam family: Bacterial small subunit ribosomal RNA
Source: RNAcentral
AUUGAACGCAGGCGGCAUGCUUUACACAUGCAAGUCGGACGGCAGCACAGAGAAGCUUGCUUCUUGGGUGGCGAGUGGCGAACGGGUGAGUAAUAUAUCGGAACGUACCGAGUAAUGGGGGAUAACUAAUCGAAAGAUUAGCUAAUACCGCAUAUUCUCUGAGGAGGAAAGCAGGGGACCUUCGGGCCUUGCGUUAUUCGAGCGGCCGAUAUCUGAUUAGCUAGUUGGUGGGGUAAAGGCCUACCAAGGCGACGAUCAGUAGCGGGUCUGAGAGGAUGAUCCGCCACACUGGGACUGAGACACGGCCCAGACUCCUACGGGAGGCAGCAGUGGGGAAUUUUGGACAAUGGGCGCAAGCCUGAUCCAGCCAUGCCGCGUGUCUGAAGAAGGCCUUCGGGUUGUAAAGGACUUUUGUCAGGGAAGAAAAGGCUGUUGCUAAUAUCAAUAGCUGAUGACGGUACCUGAAGAAUAAGCACCGGCUAACUACGUGCCAGCAGCCGCGGUAAUACGUAGGGUGCGAGCGUUAAUCGGAAUUACUGGGCGUAAGGCGAGCGCAGACGGUUACUUAAGCAGGAUGUGAAAUCCCCGGGCUCAACCUGGGAACUGCGUUCUGAACUGGGUGACUAGAGUGUGUCAGAGGGAGGUAGAAUUCCACGUGUAGCAGUGAAAUGCGUAGAGAUGUGGAGGAAUACCGAUGGCGAAGGCAGCCUCCUGGGAUAACACUGACGUUCAUGCUCGAAAGCGUGGGUAGCAAACAGG